CCUACGGGAGGCAGCAGUGGGGAAUAUUGCACAAUGGGGGAAACCCUGAUGCAGCAACGCCGCGUGAAGGAAGACGGUUUUCGGAUUGUAAACUUCUAUCAAUAGGGAAGAAAGAAAUGACGGUACCUAAAUAAGAAGCCCCGGCUAACUACGUGCCAGCAGCCGCGGGAAUACGUAGGGGGCAAGCGUUAUCCGGAAUUACUGGGGGGAAAGGGAGAGUAGGCGGCAAGGUAAGCGAUAUGUGAAAGCCUUAAGCUUAACUUAAGGAUGGCAUAACGAACUAUCUAGCUAGAGGACAGGAGAGGAAAGCGGAAGUCCUAGUGGAGCGGUGAAAUGCGUAGAUAGUAGGAAGAACACCAGUGGCGAAGGCGGCUUUCUGGACUGAAACUGACGCGGAGGCUCGAAAGCGUGGGGAGCGAACAGGAUUAGAUACCCCAGUAGUC
Molecule: ribosomal RNA, 443 nt
Filed under: uncultured bacterium
Lineage: Bacteria
Description: partial 16S ribosomal RNA
Rfam family: Bacterial small subunit ribosomal RNA
Source: RNAcentral